GCCCGAGUAGCUCAGUCGGCAGAGCGAGCGCUUCGUAAGCGUUAGGUCGGAGGUUCGAAUCCUCUCUCGGGCU
This 73-nucleotide transfer RNA is filed under the name Patescibacteria group bacterium. RNAcentral describes it as "tRNA-Thr". It matches the Rfam family "tRNA". From Rfam's summary of the family: Transfer RNA (tRNA) molecules are approximately 80 nucleotides in length. Their secondary structure includes four short double-helical elements and three loops (D, anti-codon, and T loops). The record is from RNAcentral.